AAUCAACGCUGGCGGCGUGCCUCAGACAUGCAAGUCGAACGAGAAAGUCCCCUUCGGGGGAUAAGUAAAGUGGCGCACGGGUGAGUAACACGUAGGUAAUCUACCUUCGGGUGGGGAAUAACCCAGGGAAACUUGGGCUAACACCGCAUAAUGCAGCGGCACCACAUGGUGACAGUUGUUAAAGCGGGGGAUUUUCGAACCUCGCGCCUGAAGAGGAGCCUGCGGCGGAUUAGCUAGNGGUGAGGUAACGGCUCACCAAGGUCACGAUCCGUAGCCGGCCUGAGAGGGCGGUCGGCCACACUGACACUGACAUACGGGUCAGACUCCUACGGGAGGCAGCAGUCGGGAAUUUUGGGCAAUGGGCGAAAGCCUGACCCAGCAACGCCGCGUGAAGGGAUGAAAUCCCUCGGGAUGUAAACUU
Molecule: ribosomal RNA, 421 nt
Filed under: uncultured bacterium
Lineage: Bacteria
Description: bacterial SSU rRNA
Rfam family: Bacterial small subunit ribosomal RNA
Source: RNAcentral